RNAcentral lists this ribosomal RNA (253 nucleotides) under uncultured bacterium. Its description in RNAcentral is "partial 16S ribosomal RNA". It matches the Rfam family "Bacterial small subunit ribosomal RNA", at positions 524 to 776 of the family's 1533-position model. The record is from RNAcentral.
UACGUAGGGUGCAAGCGUUGUCCGGAUUUAUUGGGCGUAAAGAGCUCGUAGGCGGUCUGUUACGUCGGUUGUGAAAACUCGGGGCUUAACCCCGAGCCUGCAUCCGAUACGGGCAGACUUGAGUGUGGUAGGGGAGACUGGAAUUCCUGGUGUAGCGGUGAAAUGCGCAGAUAUCAGGAGGAACACCGAUGGCGAAGGCAGGUCUCUGGGCCACAACUGACGCUGAGGAGCGAAAGCGUGGGGAGCAAACAGG